AGCUCGAACGAGAUAUAGGAGCAAUCCCUGAGUAAAGUGGCGCACGGGUGAGUAACACGUGACUAACCUACCCUGGAGUGGGGGAUAACUGAGGGAAACCUUAGCUAAUACCGCAUAAUACCCACGGGUCAAAGGAGCAAUUCGCUCCAGGAGGGGGUCGCGGCCGAUUAGUUAGUUGGCGGGGUAACGGCCCACCAAGACGAUGAUCGGUAUCCGGCCUGAGAGGGCGCACGGACACACUGGAACUGAAACACGGUCCAGACUCCUACGGGAGGCAGCAGUGGGGAAUUUUGCGCAAUGGGGGAAACCCUGACGCAGCAACGCCGCGUGGAGGAUGAAGUCCUUCGGGACGUAAACUCCUUUCGAUCGGGACGAUUAUGACGGUACCGGAAGAAGAAGCCCCGGCUAACUUCGUGCCAGCAGCCGCGGUAAUACGAGGGGGGCGAGCGUUGUUCGGAAUUAUUGGGCGUAAAGGGUGCGUAGGCGGUUUGGUAAGUCUUGUGUGAAAUCUACAGGCUCAACUUGUAGGCUGCACGAGAAACUGCCGGGCUUGAGUGUGGGAGAGGUGAGUGGAAUUUCCGGUGUAGCGGUGAAAUGCGUAGAUAUCGGAAGGAACACCUGUGGCGAAAGCGGCUCACUGGACCACAACUGACGCUGAUGCACGAAAGCUAGGGGAGCAAACAGGAUUAGAUACCCUGGUAGUCCUAGCCCUAAACGAUGACUGCUUGGUGUGACGGGUACCCAAUCCCGCCGUGCCCUAUCUAACGCGUUAAGCAGUCCGCCUGGGGAGUACGGGUCGCAA
This 802-nucleotide ribosomal RNA is filed under the name uncultured soil bacterium. RNAcentral's name for it is "bacterial SSU rRNA". It matches the Rfam family "Bacterial small subunit ribosomal RNA", at positions 60 to 891 of the family's 1533-position model. The record is from RNAcentral.